AUGUCGAGGAUGACGAGCAAGUUGGCAUCCGUGAAGCUUCGCCGGAGCCAUUCCUACUCUUCUAGAGCCACAAGGAGAGCCUUGGCAGGCUGUACGAGUGGGAGAAGAAGCUCUAUGAGGAAGUCAGGUUUCAUGCAGAUGGUGCCCAUCGACACUGCUACCUUCCGAAGGUUGCCAUGCUAUGGAUUGACAACCAUGGGCGUGUUUCUUCCAUGCGCUGUAGAGCAGGUGGACGAGGAGAAGGGGCCAGCCCGAGCUGGACGACGGAGUGUCUUCGGAGGCGGAGGAGAGGACCAACAAUAG
This 303-nucleotide ribosomal RNA is filed under the name Triticum aestivum (bread wheat). RNAcentral's name for it is "partial small subunit ribosomal RNA". The record is from RNAcentral. Lineage: Eukaryota; Viridiplantae; Streptophyta; Magnoliopsida; Poales; Poaceae.